This 207-nucleotide ribosomal RNA is filed under the name uncultured bacterium. RNAcentral's name for it is "partial 16S ribosomal RNA". It matches the Rfam family "Bacterial small subunit ribosomal RNA", at positions 524 to 731 of the family's 1533-position model. The record is from RNAcentral.
GACGGAGGGUGCUAGCGUUGUUCGGAAUUACUGGGCGUAAAGGGCGCGUAGGCGGCCGUCUGCGUCGGAUGUGAAAGCCCGGGGCUCAACCCCGGAACGGCAUCCGAUACGGGACGGCUGGAGACCGGGAGAGGAGGGUGGAAUAGCCAGUGUAGAGGUGAAAUUCGUAGAUAUUGGCUGGAACACCGGUGGCGAAGGCGGGCGCUG